CCUACGGGUGGCAGCAGUGAGGAAUAUUGGUCAAUGGGCGGAAGCCUGAACCAGCCAAGUCGCGUGAGGGAAUAAGGCCCUACGGGUCGUAAACCUCUUUUGCCGGGGAGCAAGGGCCGGGACGAGUCCCGGUCCGGAGAGUACCCGGAGAAAAAGCAUCGGCUAACUCCGUGCCAGCAGACGCGGUAAUACGGAGGAUGCGAGCGUUAUCCGGAUUUAUUGGGUUAAAAGGGGGCGUAGGCGGGCUUUUAAGUCCGCCGUAAAAAUUCGGGGCUCAACCCCGUCCGGCCGUUGAAACUGGGGGCCUUGAGUGGGCGAGAAGAAGGCGGAAUGCGUGGUGUAGCGGUGAAAUGCAUAGAUAUCACGCAGAACCCCGAUUGCGAAGGCAGCCUUCCGGCGCCCUACUGACGCUGAGGCACGAAAGUGCGGGGAUCGAACAGGAUUAGAUACCCCUGUAGUC
RNAcentral lists this ribosomal RNA (460 nucleotides) under uncultured bacterium. RNAcentral describes it as "partial 16S ribosomal RNA". It matches the Rfam family "Bacterial small subunit ribosomal RNA", at positions 338 to 795 of the family's 1533-position model. The record is from RNAcentral.